CUGCGAGCGUGACGGCGCGAGCAGGUGCGAAAGCAGGUCAUAGUGAUCCGGUGGUUCUGAAUGGAAGGGCCAUCGCUCAACGGAUAAAAGGUACUCCGGGGAUAACAGGCUGAUACCGCCCAAGAGUUCAUAUCGACGGCGGUGUUUGGCACCUCGAUGUCGGCUCAUCACAUCCUGGGGCUGAAGUAGGUCCCAAGGGUAUGGCUGUUCGCCAUUUAAAGUGGUACGCGAGCUGGGUUUAGAACGUCGUGAGACAGUUCGGUCCCUAUCUGCCGUGGGCGCUGGAGAACUGAGGGGGGCUGCUCCUAGUACGAGAGGACCGGAGUGGACGCAUCACUGGUGUUCGGGUUGUCAUGCCAAUGGCACUGCCCGGUAGCUAAAUGCGGAAGAGAUAAGUGCUGAAAGCAUCUAAGCACGAAACUUGCCCCGAGAUGAGUUCUCCCUGAGACUUUAGGUCUCCUGAAGGAACGUUGAAGACGACGACGUUGAUAGGCCGGGUGUGUAAGCGCAGCGAUGCGUUGAGCUAACCGGUACUAAUGAACCGUGAGGCUUAACCUUACA
RNAcentral lists this ribosomal RNA (561 nucleotides) under Salmonella enterica. RNAcentral describes it as "partial 23S ribosomal RNA". It matches the Rfam family "Bacterial large subunit ribosomal RNA", at positions 2373 to 2925 of the family's 2925-position model. The record is from RNAcentral. Lineage: Bacteria; Pseudomonadati; Pseudomonadota; Gammaproteobacteria; Enterobacterales; Enterobacteriaceae.